RNAcentral lists this ribosomal RNA (940 nucleotides) under Methanosarcina mazei. Its description in RNAcentral is "bacterial SSU rRNA". It matches the Rfam family "Archaeal small subunit ribosomal RNA", at positions 156 to 1098 of the family's 1478-position model. Lineage: Archaea; Methanobacteriati; Methanobacteriota; Methanomicrobia; Methanosarcinales; Methanosarcinaceae. The record is from RNAcentral.
CGCAUAUUUGCUGGAAUGCUUUAUGCGUCAAAAGGAUUCGUCUGCCCAAGGAUGGGUCUGCGGCCUAUCAGGUAGUAGUGGGUGUAAUGUACCUACUAGCCAGCGACGGGUACGGGUUGUGAGAGCAAGAGCCCGGAGAUGGAUUCUGAGACAUGAAUCCAGGCCCUACGGGGCGCAGCAGGCGCGAAAACUUUACAAUGCGGGAAACCGUGAUAAGGGGACACCGAGUGCCAGCAUCAUAUGCUGGCUGUCCGGAUGUGUAAAAUACAUCCGUUAGCAAGGGCCGGGCAAGACCGGUGCCAGCCGCCGCGGUAACACCGGCGGCCCGAGUGGUGAUCGUGAUUAUUGGGUCUAAAGGGUCCGUAGCCGGUUUGGUCAGUCCUCCGGGAAAUCUGAUAGCUCAACUAUUAGGCUUUCGGGGGAUACUGCCAGACUUGGAACCGGGAGAGGUAAGAGGUACUACAGGGGUAGGAGUGAAAUCUUGUAAUCCCUGUGGGACCACCUGUGGCGAAGGCGUCUUACCAGAACGGGUUCGACGGUGAGGGACGAAAGCUGGGGGCACGAACCGGAUUAGAUACCCGGGUAGUCCCAGCCGUAAACGAUGCUCGCUAGGUGUCAGGCAUGGCGCGACCGUGUCUGGUGCCGCAGGGAAGCCGUGAAGCGAGCCACCUGGGAAGUACGGCCGCAAGGCUGAAACUUAAAGGAAUUGGCGGGGGAGCACAACAACGGGUGGAGCCUGCGGUUUAAUUGGACUCAACGCCGGACAACUCACCGGGGGCGACAGCAAUAUGUAGGCCAAGCUGAAGACUUUGCCUGAAUCGCUGAGAGGAGGUGCAUGGCCGUCGCCAGUUCGUACUGUGAAGCAUCCUGUUAAGUCAGGCAACGAGCGAGACCCGUGCCCACUGUUACCAGCAUGUCCUCCGGGACGAUGGGUACUCUG